GAUUAAAAUAAUUUGUUGAUUAUUAACUCAUUUCAUAUUUCCAACAAUUAAAAAAUAAAAAUUAAGUGAAAACUUAAACCUACAGUGCGCCCAACCUGGAUUUACUCAGACUUGGAUUUCAAAAAGACCGGCCCAAAUCGGCAAACUCUCUAUCUAGUCCACAGGAAUGUUGUUUUCAAUCUACGGAUCCCUGAAUACUAAUAGGAGUCUGACAAGGUAAUUUAUUCGUUGCAUGCAUGCACACUAAAAGCAGAAGGAAUCAAGAGUGGCUAUCAGCUCAUUGCUGAGGUCAUAAUUGAAAUAGAAAUGUUGAAUUAGUGCUAUUGCUAAUUGUGGAUCACGUGGUCCCCUAAUUUAGUGCUAUUGAUCCUUUAUCCGAGUUUUAUCUUAUGUAAUGCUUUUAUAUACAUAAUUAAGAGAGAUAUAUUUAUUCUAAAAAAAUGAGGAUAUCAGUAAAAAUUAAAAAAAUAUAUAUAAUAUAUUAACAGAUAAAAAGAAUAUAAUUUUUAAUAAAUUAAAAAAUAUAUUUUUUAAUAUUUUAAUGGUAUUCUCACUUUAAAGAUAUCCUCAUUAUAGAAAGAUUAUUUUUAUAUAUGAAAAAUUUUCAAUAUUAAAAUCAGGGAUAACUUACACGUUAUUACGUAUUAUAAAACAUGAUAUUUAAUUCUAUACAUAAUUACUAGUUUUCAUUGGGAAAAAAAAAAAAAAAACCAACCAAAAAGAAGGAGAGUAUUAUAUACAUAAUAAAGUCAUAAUAACUUUAACAAAGCUCAUACAUGUAAGUUUGGAGAAGCAAUUGUGUGGGACAUACUACAGUGGGUCCCGAAGUGGGACAUACUACAGUGGGUCCCGAAGUGGGACAUACUAAUAGAGGAGCAUAGCCAAUACACAAAGUCGUAAUAACUUAAAAAUGUCUAUACAUGUAACACGAUACAUAAUAAAGCCAUCGUCAAUGCAUAAUAAAGUCAUAAUAUCUUAGAUUAAGUCUACGCAUGUAACACGACACAUGUUAUAAAAAUGAUUGGAAUUGAAGUUCGACUCAAUAUUAUAUUAUGUAUAGAUUUUGUUCCUUGACGGUGGAGAAUGAAAGUUGCUUCACAAAUAUUUCAUUAUGGAUCUAUCUUUGCACUGUUGUUUUGGUUGGCAAUAAACUAAAUAUAAGCCUUCUCAUAUGAAUCAAUUUGGCCAUGCAUAUUAAUUACAUAUUUAUUAUGAGAAUUUAAGAUGAUGCUCGUGUUCGUGUACAAUAUUUGUUUCACUUUACUCCAACAAAUUAUCAUUCCAUUAAUGAAGCCAUUCAAUUUUCGAACUUCAUACUGCCCACCGUUAUAUUGAGUUAAUACAUGGGGACAGGGUGUUUGUGCAGUGUCGUGCACGGCAGGGCGCUUAACGUGCUAUCAAUUAUCAAAUGGCCCGUACAGCUGCAAAACCUGUAAAAUGGCAGCAUUUGCAUGAGAUACGGCCGCAAUGCCUGUAAUAUUAUGUGGCAUUACCCUACCUUUUAUGCAUUGAAUUUGUGCAUGUUCUGCACUCGCUUAACGUUUUCUCAAACGUCAAAUGUAAUCGUUUUCUUCAUUGAGUUUGUGCAUGCAUGUUCUGGGCUUGCCUAUCGUUUUAUCAAAUGUGAAAUCUAAUCGUUUUCUUCUUUUUCUCCUUGUAGGUCCCUCCGCCGAAAAUAAAACUAUGGCUAAAAUUCGGAGACGUGUGUUAUGGACCGCUCAAUUUUGAGGCAAGAAUGUGCAAACUUUGCCUUGAUUUUAGAAGAUUCUAACUAUAGAACUCUUUUAACUUGUAAAUACGUACCUGGGAACUCUUUACAGUGGAAUGAGGAUUCUCUAAGAGUCAUGAGAAUUCUCUAGAAAGAAAGAUUCUGAAAUGUGGUAAACUUCCCUAUAAUUAAGUUUGGCACUUAGCAUUUCAUUCAAGUAAUUCCAAGCAUUCUCUACACAAUCAAGCAUUGUAUAAUAAUUAUCUUAUACGAACACACUCUUGUGAGUAAUAAAUUCUCUUCUCUUUGGUUCAAUUGCUCUCUAGUUGUCUUUUUUUCUCUAGUUAUUCCACAAGUAUCCUAGUUUAACCAGUAAAAAGCUCAAGGCUUAUUUAACAACUUUAAACGACAAUUGUCUAAAUAUCGCAUGAAUGUGCUGCGUAAAAUACUCAUCUUAUUCAUUGUAGUAAAUAAAUUAUGAAACUACCUAAUGCAAGUGCAUCUUUUUCAACCACAUGAUUAUGGAACAGAUUCUUAUUUUUACAUGACCUGGUGUCCACUGAAUGAACAAACAUGUUGUAGAUAACCCUAAUUUAAAACGAGGUAAAAAUGGAUAGAGUUUAUAUUGGAUAUCCAUAUAAUACCCAAUUGGACACUUAAAAAAUAUUUGUAUCUCUAUUCAAAAGGUUUUGAAUGGAUAUUUUGGCUAGCUCAUUUGAGCUAGAUAUAUUAGAUAUCCAACUUGGAUGGAUUAGUUUACCAUCUCUUUAGACGGCCCCUUUUAAUAUAUGAGUGGAGCUUCUAACACCUCUUUGAAACUAAUUAUCAAAAUAAUCCCACCUUUUGCAUUAAAUUUAUAAUUGUUUCUUUAAUGAUAAUUAUAAAAGGAAGAUAAAAGUUACAAUAAAGUUUAAAUAAAAUUUACAAUCAUCUAGAAUAAAUUAAUUAAAUUUUAAACUUACAAUUUCAAAAUAAAAUAAUUAUUAUUAUUAGGUAAUUUAUUUGUAUAUCAUAUAUAAGGAUUUAAUCAUUUAAAGACAAGUAGGAUCCAUGAUUUAUAAAGACAUUUUAGUUUAAUUAAAUUUAUUUUAUCCUUUAGAGUUAAACUAUUGGCACCCUCAAUAAUCCUUAUAA
RNAcentral lists this long non-coding RNA (2842 nucleotides) under Citrus x clementina. RNAcentral's name for it is "Citrus clementina (C. clementina) long non-coding RNA (CCLE_LNC005715)". The record is from RNAcentral. Lineage: Eukaryota; Viridiplantae; Streptophyta; Magnoliopsida; Sapindales; Rutaceae.